GUACGUGUAGCUCAGUUGGAUAGAGCGUCUGGCUACGGACCAGAAGGCCGAGGGUUCGAAUCCUUUCACGUACA
Molecule: non-coding RNA, 74 nt
Organism: Eubacterium sp. CAG:192
Lineage: Bacteria; Bacillati; Bacillota; Clostridia; Eubacteriales; Eubacteriaceae
Source: Rfam